This 461-nucleotide ribosomal RNA is filed under the name uncultured bacterium. RNAcentral describes it as "partial 16S ribosomal RNA". It matches the Rfam family "Bacterial small subunit ribosomal RNA", at positions 338 to 795 of the family's 1533-position model. The record is from RNAcentral.
CCUACGGGGGGCAGCAGUGAGGAAUAUUGGUCAAUGGACGCAAGUCUGAACCAGCCAAGUAGCGUGCAGGAUGACGGCCCUCCGGGUUGUAAACUGCUUUUAGUUGGGAAUAAAAGGGGGCUCGUGAGCCCCGUAUUGUAUGUACCAUCAGAAAAAGGACCGGCUAAUUCCGUGCCAGCAGCCGCGGUAAUACGGAGGAUGCGAGCGUUAUCCGGAUUUAUUGGGUUUAAAGGGUGCGUAGGCGGAUUUUUAAGUCAGCGGUAAAAUGUCCGGGCUCAACCCGGGCCGGCCGUUGAAACUGGGGAUCUUGAGUGGGUGAGAAGUAUGCGGAAUGCGUGGUGUAGCGGUGAAAUGCAUAGAUAUCACGCAGAACUCCGAUUGCGAAGGCAGCAUACCGGCGCCCGACUGACGCUGAGGCACGAAAGCGUGGGGAUCGAACAGGAUUAGAUACCCUAGUAGUC